This 984-nucleotide long non-coding RNA is filed under the name Taeniopygia guttata (zebra finch). Its description in RNAcentral is "lncRNA (ENSTGUG00000020066.1)". The record is from RNAcentral. Lineage: Eukaryota; Metazoa; Chordata; Aves; Passeriformes; Estrildidae.
UGUAUAUAAUAGACUACAUUUAUUGGUAGGUCUUUAAAGUGGUCUGUUAACUAUUUACAAUAAGAUAAUUUUUCAAAAUAGAGACAUUAUAUGUGUUUACCAAGAUUUUCUGUGUAAGUAUGCCAUUCUCAUUAAUUUAUGAUAGCAUGCUAUACAAGAAUUGUAAUGUUAAGUUUUAUUUUCAACUUUUUUCUUACUGAGGUUCAUCAACUAGCAAACAAAAACCCCCUACUUUUAAGCACCUCACUUUUUAACACAUAUCGAUCCCUGAGACGAGAACAUUUAUGCUACUAAAAGUAAAUAUUUUACUAUUUUUUUAAUAACUAAUAUACCUGUCAGUACGUGUGCUAGGUUAUAGUCGCUGCAGUUCUUAUUCUUAGUGAGGCACAUACAGUUCACCUUUGAUACAUAAGUUACAACUGUAGAUAUUUCACUUUAUCCAAAGAUUCCCAAGAGCAGAGGUUCUUGCUUUAGGGGGAGGCAGAGGUAGACAAAACCGAUGCAUUUCUCUUGAGUCUGUUUUGGAGGCUGUUGUAAAGGAGUCACAAGUAAAGAGGAAAAUGCAUUCUUGUUUUAUCAGGUGGUGCUGGUGUCUCAACUCAGUUGUCUGGGACUUACCAUUCAUAGUGUCCCAGGGACAACACAGUAGUUAAAACUUUUUUUUUCCAUUUGUUUUGUCCUUUAAAGAACACUUGGAUAAAUAACUAAAUUUUAUUCCUUUAGAAGUAAAAAAAAAUGGGUUUUUUGUUUGUUUGUUUUAACAGGGCAGCUGGAAUUGGCAGAUGCUUUUUCAAACAACCAAGCAAAGUGCAGGUGUGGGUUGCUUGUCAGAAAUCCAUUCUGAAGCUUGAGUGCAAAGGAAGCAGAGUACUAAUGAUGAAUACGAAUGGAUAUCUUAAGGAUAACAAUGGAUCUUCAAAAGCAGUGGCAUUCUGCUUUGGCCAUCAUGUUAUUAAGAGGCUGAAAAUCUACAUGAAGAGCUGA